This 67-nucleotide transfer RNA is filed under the name Marmota monax (woodchuck). RNAcentral describes it as "tRNA.Ala". It matches the Rfam family "tRNA". From Rfam's summary of the family: Transfer RNA (tRNA) molecules are approximately 80 nucleotides in length. Their secondary structure includes four short double-helical elements and three loops (D, anti-codon, and T loops). Further hydrogen bonds mediate the characteristic L-shaped molecular structure. tRNAs have two regions of fundamental functional importance: the anti-codon, which is responsible for specific mRNA codon recognition, and the 3' end, to which the tRNAs corresponding amino acid is attached (by aminoacyl-tRNA synthetases). tRNAs cope with the degeneracy of the genetic code in two manners: having more than one tRNA (with a specific anti-codon) for a particular amino acid; and 'wobble' base-pairing, i.e. permitting non-standard base-pairing at the 3rd anti-codon position. Lineage: Eukaryota; Metazoa; Chordata; Mammalia; Rodentia; Sciuridae. The record is from RNAcentral.
GGUAUAGCUCAGUUGGUAGAGCACUUGCCUUGCAUGCACAAGGCCCUGGGUUUGAUUCCCAACACCA